GUACACGCUGUGACUAGCAUAUCAAUAAGCGGAGGAAAAGAAACUAACAAGGAUUCCCCUAGUAACGGCGAGUGAAGCGGGAAGAGCUCAAAUUUGAAAUCUUAAAGGGUUUCCCUUUACGAAUUGUAGUUUAAAGAAGUGUUUUCUGUUGAGGUUUUGGUAAAAGUUCUUUGGAAUAGGACAUCAUAGAGGGUGAGAAUCCCGUAUUUGACCUUUACUUUCAACUUUGUGAUACACUUUCAAAGAGUCGGAUUGUUUGGGAAUGCAGUCCAAAAUGGGUGGUAAAUUUCAUCUAAAGCUAAAUAUUGGCGAGAGACCGAUAGCGAACAAGUACCGUGAGGGAAAGAUGAAAAGAACUUUGAAAAGAGAGUUAAACAGUACGUGAAAUUGUCAAAAGGGAAGCGUUUGACACCAGUGUUGUUUUUCUGAAAAUCAAUUAAAGAACUGUUUAUGCUAAGCUGUUUAGACUUUAUCAGCUAUCUGUUUAGUUUUGAGCUUUUCUUUAAUGCACUUUUCAGUUAACAAGUCAACAUCAAUUUCUUUUGCUGUAAAAAAGCUUGAGGAAGGUGGCUUGAGAUUCGUCUUAAGUGUUUAUAGCCUCUUGCCUAUGCAGUCGGAGAGAUUGAGGUCUGCAGCGUAGAUCCUUCGGGGCUAAAUGCAUUUGUGCUAAGUUAUAGCAUUUUAUAGACAACUUGUUGACUAUGAUUUGUCUUGUAGCUUACUCGCUAUGUUAUUUUACCUACGCUUAGGAUGUUGAAGAUGUAGCACAUCAU
Molecule: ribosomal RNA, 773 nt
Filed under: uncultured Neocallimastigales
Lineage: Eukaryota; Fungi; Neocallimastigomycota; Neocallimastigomycetes; Neocallimastigales
Description: partial large subunit ribosomal RNA
Rfam family: Eukaryotic large subunit ribosomal RNA
Source: RNAcentral